GACGAACGCUGGCGGCGUGCUUAACACAUGCAAGUCGAACGGAAAGGCCCUUCGGGGUACUCGAGUGGCGAACGGGUGAGUAACACGUGGGUGAUCUGCCCUGCACUUUGGGAUAAGCCUGGGAAACUGGGUCUAAUACCGAAUAGGACCACGCGCUUCAUGGUGUGUGGUGGCAAGCUUUUGCGGUGUGGGAUGGGCCCGCGGCCUAUCAGCUUGUUGGUGGGGUAAUGGCCUACCAAGGCGACGACGGGUAGCCGGCCUGAGAGGGUGACCGGCCACACUGGGACUGAGAUACGGACCAGACUCCUACGGGAGGCAGCAGUGGGGAAUAUUGCACAAUGGGCGCAAGCCUGAUGCAGCGACGCCGCGGGAGGGAUGACGGCCUUCGGGUUGUAAACCUCUUUCAAUAGGGACGAAGCGCAAGUGACGGUACCUAUAGAAGAAGCACCGGCCAACUACGUG
This 462-nucleotide ribosomal RNA is filed under the name uncultured bacterium. RNAcentral describes it as "partial 16S ribosomal RNA". It matches the Rfam family "Bacterial small subunit ribosomal RNA", at positions 28 to 507 of the family's 1533-position model. The record is from RNAcentral.